RNAcentral lists this ribosomal RNA (253 nucleotides) under uncultured bacterium. RNAcentral describes it as "partial 16S ribosomal RNA". It matches the Rfam family "Bacterial small subunit ribosomal RNA", at positions 524 to 776 of the family's 1533-position model. The record is from RNAcentral.
UACGGGGGGGGCAAGCGUUGUUCGGAAUUACUGGGCGUAAAGGGCUCGUAGGCGGCCAACUAAGUCAGACGUGAAAUCCCCAGGCUCAACCUGGGGACUGCGUCUGAUACUGGAUGGCUUGAAUUCGGGAGAGGGAUGCAGAAUUCCAGGUGUAGCGGUGAAAUGCGUAGAUAUCUGGAGGAAUACCGGUGGCGAAGGCGGCAUCCUGGACCGACAUUGACGCUGAGGAGCGAAAGCUAGGGGAGCAAACGGG